AAACUAAAUCUUUUGUUCACCAGCUGCUCAGCUUUUCAGUCUGGGUCUGAGCUGAAACCUGCUGCAAGUCUGACGGUACCAAAUUACAUAUAUAUCUGUCAAAAUGAUGUAGGACCUAAAGUCUCUCUGUAAGUUGAUCCUUUUGACCCCAUGAUUAGGAGCUUCACAAUGUGGUACCACACCUGGAAACCUCCAGAACAAGAUCUCAAGGAAACACAGGAAAUUCCUGAAACAGCAAAACCCCCUAUGUGAAGACGUCUGUUAUUCCUUUGUGUAUCAGGAGCAUCACUGUUAAUUAACUGUUGAUACACUUAAAACAGCUUGGUUGGCAAUGUCCUUUUUGAAUAAAGAAGAGCCAGGUGUGUUUUUCAGGAUGAACUAGACAAUGCUGUCACAAGUUUACCUCUACAUCUUAUUGCCUUGGAAAAAUUUCCUGCAUAUCGUGGCACAAGAUGGUUGGCUCUCCAGGCAGCAGUUGGCGUUGUGAAUCAGUCAUCUCAGCAUGUGUCUCCAAGAUCCCACAGCAGGGGGAAAAAGAGGUGGAGGGUCACAUGCCUGGUGUUACAUACUUUGAGGCAGAGGUGGUAGGUGCCAUUUCUGCUCACAGCUCAUGGACCAGAACAAAGCCAUGCAUACCUGAGAGAGGACCAGAAAAUAUUCUGAAGCAGAUGGCUAUUUGGUCCGUGUUCUGACUAAAAGGAAGCCACACUCUGUCGAAAACAAGCUUUGUAAGAAAAUUUUGAAGUAUUUACUUAUAUCUAACCAUUCAUUCCACCUUUUCUCCCAAAUAACACUCUAAUAUCUUGAGACAUCUUGUCUAGGGCCAGAUUUCAUAAAUGCUUGUGAGGCAGGAGAAUAAGUUCCAGAGGCAGUUCACACUGCCUAAAGCCAAUUCACACUGACUUCCUAUAACUAAAUCUAAAGGAAAAUCUCAACUUUCCUCGCCCAAGUAACAAAAGAAUCAGAGGUUAUACUCCCUUUGCAACCUGCCCCUUUUCUGCCUGGCAGAUGAAAAAUGAAAAGUACCUAUGACUGGUCCCCUCCCACGACCAGCCAGACUGGUCACGGAUCACUACUUCAUUUACAUAGGGCGUAAACCGAGUAACCAAUGGGAAACCUCUAGAGGGUAUUUAAACCCCAGAAAAUUCUGUAACCGGUGGUCUCCAGCAGGUUGCUCAAUCUUGCUGCCACUCUGUGGGAUGUACUUUUGUUUCAAUAAAUCUGUGCUCUUC
Molecule: long non-coding RNA, 1232 nt
Filed under: Homo sapiens (human)
Lineage: Eukaryota; Metazoa; Chordata; Mammalia; Primates; Hominidae
Description: PREDICTED lncRNA (TCONS_00235662)
Source: RNAcentral